Non-coding RNA from Zootoca vivipara (common lizard), 10735 nucleotides. NCBI's taxonomy places the organism in Eukaryota, Metazoa, Chordata, Lepidosauria, Squamata, Lacertidae. The record is from RefSeq and is a predicted model, not a curated record.
ACACUCUCGCGAGGCUUCCCCGGCGGCAGCGGCGGCGCACCAACGACGGCGGCGUAGCUCUUUUCUGUCAAGUCCGCCGGGCCGGCACUUAUGGCAGCGCUGCGGGGUUUCCUGAGGCGGCGUCGCUGCCGCCUCCCCAACGGCAACGGCAGCGACUCGGAGCUGCCUCACCGAAGGCAGCUGUGGGGUGUGAGGGCCCGGCCGCCGGGCAGCAGCGCCGCGCCGCUGAGCAGCUUGGGCACCGCGGCGGCGGCGGGCGCUACCGGCGGGGCGCUCGCCUGGUUCGUCUGCCAGCGCUUCUACGAGCGUCGGCCGUCACCUCAGCAGCGGCAGAAGGGACGAAGCGGCCAGGCCGGCCAGGCCCGCGCGCUGCUGCCCAUCCCUGUGGCGGCCGCUGCCAAGGAUACGACGGGCACAGAAAGCAGACCAGAUCUUCAAGAGCUGGAUCUUUAUGCAACUUCCCGGGAGCAGCGAUUUCGCAUGUUUGCCAGUUUAGAAUUUGAAGGGCAGCUCUUUAUGACACCAUAUGACUUCAUUCAGUCUGUUUCAAUUGAUGAACCAAAGAGGACAAGAAAAUGGAAGUCUCUUUCAAAACAGGAAUUGAAUCAAAUACUUGUAGAAACUCCACCAGUUUGGAAAGGGUCGUCAAAACUCUUUCGUAACCUCCAAGAGAAAGGUGUGAUUUCUUACACAGAAUAUCUGUUUCUGUUAUGUAUCUUAACAAAGCCACAUGCUGGUUUUAGAAUAGCUUUCAACAUGUUUGAUACAGAUGGAAAUGAGAUGGUGGACAAAAAAGAGUUUUUGGUGCUGCAAGACAUAUUCAGAAAGAAAAAUGAAAAGAAAGAACGAAGAGGAGAUGAAGAGAAACGUGCUAUGCUGCACCUCCAGCUUUAUGGAUACCACAGUUCUACUAAUGCUGUGCUAAAAACAGAAGGAGAGGACCUGGUUCCAAGAAGCUAUUGGGAUACUCUGAGACGUAGCACAAGCCAGGCACUCUUUUCGGACCUUGCAGAGCGUGCAGAUGACAUCACUGGUUUACUAUCCGAUACUACACUGCUAGUACACUUUUUUGGUAAGAAAGGAAAGGCUGAGCUUAACUUUGAAGAUUUUUAUAGGUUUAUGGAUAAUCUCCAAACUGAAGUUCUUGAAAUAGAAUUUCUUUCAUACUCUAAUGGAAUGACUACCAUCAGCGAGGAAGACUUUGCUCAUAUACUUUUAAGAUAUACAAAUGUGGAAAAUACAUCAAGCUAUCUGGAAAACGUACGCUGCAGCAUGCCAGAAGAACAAGGCAUUACAUUUGAUGAAUUCAGAUCAUUUUUCCAGUUUUUGAAUAAUCUAGAAGACUUCGCAAUUGCAAUGCAGAUGUAUAAUUUUGCAAACCGUUCCAUAGGAAAAGAUGAAUUCAGGCGUGCAGUAUAUGUAGCUACAGGUUUGAAGCUUUCAAUGCAUUUAGUAAGCACUGUCUUCAAGAUCUUUGAUGUAGACAAAGAUGAUCAGCUGAGCUACAAAGAAUUUAUUGGUAUUAUGAAAGACCGAUUGCAACGAGGGUUCAAGCCAAGUCUACAGACACAUUCUGAUCCAGCUUGCUGUUGAUCAAGUAGGUCCCCAAUUAAUUAUCUAGAAGGUUCAGUCUCGUCAUUGCCAUUUAUAGACUGGGAAAUCGAUGUCUAAAAGCUUUUGAUAGCCUAUUGAGUAGUUUUAGAAGUUUAAUCUGUCUGUACUCCUGACUGCCCCCUAGAGACAAUAAAUUAACUAAAUAGUAGUCAGCAGAAAUGAAUUUUGUCACAAAGUAUUUUUAAGUAAUUCUGUAAAUACUGUUGUGUAAUUUUGCAUUUAAUUUCACAUUUUAAAUUGGGCUUUGUCUUCUAUCAAAAAUACAGUAAUCAGAUUGCAUUUCUUUUUAAGCCUGAAAUAUAUGUACAAUAUAAAUAUUUUAGGUUAAUGAUUAUAAGCAGGAAUGAGCCACUACCUACUUUCUCAGCCCAUAAACGAUUGGGCUGGACUAUUCAAACAGUUGAAAAAGCCCCCUUCUCUAACGAAAAAAUUUCUUGGAGAGGGAAAACCAGGUGGCGGAGGGCAUGGAACACAGCAGGGCUUCGCCUCAGUGGCAGAUGACAUGAUCCUCAGCCAACUGGAACGCCCUUCUCCAAUGUAUGGGUGUGUGUUUUCCCUAUUAGGAAAUAGGAACUGCCGGGGAAGCAUGGGGAACAUAUGGGGUGGGGUGCUAGCUAUUGUGUGCUCUGCCGAGCUCAAAGGGCAACUCAAAAUCAGGAUUAAAGCAAGUGGGCUGAAAUACUCAUACAACCCCAUUUCUUACAUCAUAUCUGAUUUAUGAGGCCUUUAAAGAAGGAAGAAUGAAUCUAUACACCUUCUCUAGUAAUUUGAAUUGGCAAGCCAACUAUGCCUUCGACAUGUGGUGACAAAAUUUACUUCAUUGCUUGUUCUCUGAAUGUUGUUUUUUAAAAGUGCCAUGGUAGUGUGGAGUUGCUGAUUGUCCUUGUUAUUAGUGUUGGGUUAAAAUGUGUUUUUAGCCAAUCUUCUUUUAGUAUUCCCUAUAGACACUGUUCAUAAUUCCGAAUAUUAUGUCUCCUUUGCAAAUGUAUUAAAGGAUUUUAUAAUUGUUUUCUAACCUGAACUUUAAGAAUUUCUGCUCUGAGAUCUGGUAUGUUUAACUGCCACCCUGUGGAUAGUGACUGUAUUGCCAAAAUUUGAAGUGAUGUUUGUAAUUUCACACAAGCUGUAUGAAAGUAGAGUAUGGAGACUGUUUUCAUAAUACCUUAUUUAAGAUGUAGAUUCAGUAUCUUUGCUUUAAAAAUGCAUUUUUCUCUUCUUUACCAAGUACUUUAAGAAAAACACUCUCUGUUGUAGCAUCUUUGAAAUUAAUAGUUAUGCCUAUAUUGUGGUAUCAUACAUAAUUGUAUCACAGGUGCAUGAAUAUUUUAGCCUAAAAUUAUUUUUGCUGAGUUUUCUACACUAUGACUAACAAGUACAAUUCCAUUAUUAUUAUUAUUAUUAUUAUUAUUAUUAUUAUUAUUAUUAUUAUUAUUUUCAUCAUCAUCUCCUAACGCUCACCUUUGGCUGCCUUUACAUGAUGCUUGCACAUGCACACUUCUUUGUCUUCUGCUUCUCAGGGCUACAAAACCCUACAAAAAUACACCACUUUCAAAUCCUGUGUGAAGAAGGAACUCAAUAGCAGAUAAACUAUGGAAAAACCGAAACAUGGGUUGAAGGACUAUUAUGUUUGUGUGAUGACUGUAACAAGCAAACACAUUAGGCAGCGUUGGAAGCAAUUUCGGAAAAGAGAUAUGCUGUGAUGGAUGACAAGACACUUCCACUUUUGUUCACUGCUGAUUCUUUUUCUUUUUCUUUUUGGGCAUGCCUUGCAAACUGAAUGCAGAAAUCAUGAAGUUGGUAUUUAAGCCAAACAUCUUCCAGCUGUAUCUUAUCAUCUUGGACUGUGAUCCCUAAAGUGUUCUGCUGUAUAAUUUUCAUUCACUUCAUUAGGUGUGAGUGUCUGUGGAGUGAGAGUCAUCCUCUGAAUAUUUCUUCUUACAGGGAUUCAAGUGAAUCUUCGUAAGGAUUUUAUUUAACUAUUAGAUAUUAUUUUCUAAUUAGUCAUCUGCUGGGAAGACUUAUACAUGUACUGAGAAAUAAGUCAGUGGAACUUACUCCCAGGUAAGUGUUCACAGGAUUGCAGUCUUAAAAUGGGUUAUAUUUACAGAACACUUAAAACCAAACCCAAUGCAACAAUAUUAUGAUUUAGUAUUAUCUGGUUUUAUCUUUGUCAGUUGCUUUGGAUCCAUCCUAAUGGGGGGAAAGUGUACAAGUCAUUUCUUUUUUAAAAAAAAAAGUAUGCAUGGGGCAACCAUCUUGUGGAGCCCUUUCAAAGAAAUUAAAAUCCUGCUGAUCAGCUGUUUAGCAUGAAAGGGCACGAUCUAGUCCUAAAAACAGCUGAAUUAUUUCUGCAACAGCUCCAGGUGUUGGAUCAGUAACAGAAACUGCACAUGUAGCACCCUGCUCCUUCUCCAGGUGGGACAAAUACAUCUAAUGCCCCGAGUUGGAGGGGAUUGUUCCACUUUAAAUAUAAAAACAAAAUGUGAAUUGUUUUAGGAAUGCAUUUUUUAAAAAUGUCUGUUGUAUUUAUUUUGUUUUCAUAUGCCAUUCCAUUUUCUUAAUAUGGUUAUUUGGCUGUUAAAUGUGCCUAUAAUUAUGGCGAUGGAGGAAAAAAAUGUUUUCAUAUGGUUUUAUAAUAGGAACAUGUGGAAAGCAAAUAGGAAAUGUAAAAUGAGAUUUAUUCCAAAGCAGAAGAAAAUUUUGUAGCUCAAAGCGAUAAAGCUGCAUUCAGACCACUCUGAAACAUUAUGCUAAACAAGCUCUUAUAGUAUAGAUUAAUGUGAAAGUUAAAAUAGUUUAAACAUGGAAACAUUAUGGUACAGUGGUACACAAGCCACUUAAAUUGGAGUAUUUCCAUUUUAAUCCUGGUGUUUUUCAUUACAUUCUGUUGGACUAAAUCAAAUUUCAACUGGUUCAAGGAUAGUAGUUUUAUUGUUUAUGCUUUACUCAAUAGGUUAAUCAGAAUGUGCUGACUUCAGAUUAUAUAAUUAUGGAUAGCACUGCAAAAGGAAAUGUGUUAUAGCCUACUUAUUCUGUGCUAUCUUAAUACACAAUCCUUGGAUCCUGACAACAGAACAUAAUUCCACUUGUAAAAUGGGGGUUCCUUGGCUCUUCCUCAUUGUAGACCCAUUUCCCUACAAAAGCAGCGCCUGAUAGUCAGAGACCCUCUGGAACCUCAGGCGGCUGCUACUGGAAAGAGGAAUCCUUGGCAAUCAGGAACAUCUCCUUGCAUGAGCAAAAGCAACUUCUGCUUGCCGUUGUGCACUCUAGGUUCCAAGCCCUGUUUGCACUUUCUUUAGUUAGCUGAAAAUACUUUAGUCAUGUAGUGCAUGACUUAGUAGACAGAUGCAUUGUCUUCUGGAGUUAACUAGCAUGCAACACUAAAACAGACCUUAAAUUUUGUGCUAGUUUGCUUCCAGUUUUUGUAGUUGCAAAACAAAUGGAAUGCUUGCAUUAAUGUUUAGUCAUAGCCUGUCACAGAAUCUUAUAAUGAUAAAGUGCCAUGAUUUUAUAUCAAUAUGUCAAUUAAAAGGUCACUAAGUAAGAAAUCAUGUGAAAACUGCAAGCAGUAAGCUGCAGCUUUCAAGACUGCUUUUAAAAAUGUUCUAUAGCAGUAGUAUUUUUUUGAAGAUAAUGAAUGGAUACAGUGCAAUUUUCUUAUCAUAUGUGCUCUGCUGAGUAGUUCACAGACUCACUCAACCUCUACACAUGAUAGAAGGCUAGGCGUCAUUUCUUCACUCAUGUGAUGCUAGAUGCAGAUACACAGUUCAGAGGCUUGUGCACAAGAAUCAUACACCCUGCUGCCUGGUUUUGAGGGAUUGCAUGAGUGUAUAUGCAGACCUGUUAGUGUAGUGUCUGGAUCACAAAUGAUUUUAUAUACCUAGCAAGGUGGGGCAAAAGAAGAGGUGUAACUACACCAUUGUCCAUAGAGAAUCCAGAGCAAGAUAAUGUAGGACCCAGCCCUAAUUUUCUAACAUUACAUGCUGGUACUUUUGGCUUCAUUAAGGUCAAUGGGAGUAAGUUAAGAAUUUCAGUAAAGUAGAUAUAUCACUCAUGAACUUUGUAUCCAGUUAAUUAAAAUCAGUGGGAAUAUAGGAUACAUAAAUGUGUGCUGGAUCACACCCAGAAUUUGAAACAGUUUAGUGCUGUUUACAAAAAGUAUGAAUUAAACAGAAGACAGAAAAAUUGAGUCACCACAGACAGAUUUAAGGAGCAAUUUGCAGGAAGAACAUGAAAAAAGAAUAUUUAAUGAAGUUUGGAACCUAAACAAAUGUAUGCUUUUCACAUCCAAGGCCACAGUAUAGAAAUUCUGGUUCUAACUUUUCUCUUUCCAAAAUGUAUACAUUUACAUCACUGUUACAGGGAUUCAACUACAUGCAAGAUUAAUGUGUUAAAUGCUUCUACUAGAAUCCUUCCUUUCUCUGUCUCUCCCUUUAAAAUGUGUAGAAGCCAGGCUACUGUGGAGUUUUUCCAUUACAGUCUAACCUCAAUAAAUAUUCUAAACAAGUGCGCAUAUUUUGUAGUUGCAGCAGAGUUACUUACAGUGGAACCUCGGUUUAUGAACACCUCGGUUUAUGAAUUUUCGGUUUAUGAACGCCGCGGACCCAUCUGGAACGGAUUAAUUCACUUUCCAUUACUUUUAAUGGGAAAGUUCGUUUCAGUUUAUGAACGCUUCAGUUUAUGAACAGACUUCUGGAACCAAUUACACCCAUGUUUCAGUUUAUGAACGCUUCAAUUUAAGUACUUCACGGACCGGUCUAGAACGGAUUAAUCCACUUUCCAUUACUUUCAAUGGAAAAGUUCGCUUCAGUUUAUGAACGGUUACUCUGCGGACCGUCUGGAACGGAUUAAUCCACUUUCCAUUACUUUCAAUGGAAAAGUUCGCUUCAGUUUAUGAACGCUUCAGUUUAUGAACAGACUUCCGGAACCAAUUGUGUUCAUAAACCGAGGUACCACUGUAUUUUGUUCUGUUUCCUUGUAUCAGUCCUGCCAAAGUUACAUGUCUCCUAAAACCAGUCCCCCUCCUGUGGGCUUGAAUGGAUCAGUGGGCUUGGGUAAGGAUGCCUUUGGACAUUGCUUUUUCCGUGGUUGAAAUAGGUGUGCCAGGCCAAAUUUUUGUGUUUGCCUUCUGAAACUAGCCCCAAAAUAUCUCUGGUUGCAUAAAAUGCAUUGUGAUCCUAAUGUGAUAGUCAUCCCCCUGAAGCUGCUCUAGCUUACCUUUGAACAAGAUGCCUCUUCUGUGUCCCCAUCUUUACCAGCACAGUAUACAUAUUGUACAAGAAUCCUGGUCUUACUGCAUUCCUUUAAAAGCUUACCAAAUUCUAGUAAUAAAGUAGUUCCUGUAUAUUUUUUUAUUAAUGGUGACUCAUCACUUACUGAAAUGUGUAUCAGAGUCAGUAUGAGUUAGAAAUAAUUUUACUGGGUAAUAAAUAGGCAAGGAACUAUAUACACAUACCCCGUAAAAGAGGCAGGUAAAUACCAGUUUCCUAUUUUUCAACAUUCUGUUGACAUUAAUCCCCUCAUUUGAUUUGGCUAUUCUUUAACAUACAAGGCACUUAUCUGCGCACCAUUCAACAUUCAAAACUCACAUACUUACUGCAUAUUUCAUUGGCAGAUAAAAUAACCCAUUCAAAUAUAUUUUGCAGCAGUAACACAAGGACAAAAUGAUAGAUCAUUAAUUUUUUUAAAAAAAUUAAUGAUCUAUUUCCUAUGUUUCUCUUUUAUGGUAAGGUAAAGGUAAAGGGACCCCUGACCAUUAGGUCCAGUCGUGACCGACUCUGGGGUUGCGCGCUCAUCUCGCAUUAUUGUCCGAGGGAGCCGGCGUAUAGCUUCCAGGUCAUGUGGCCAGCAUGACAAAGCCGCUUCUGGCAAACCAGAGCAGCACAUGGAAACGCCGUUUACCUUCCCGCUGGAGCGGUUCCUAUUUAUCUACUUGCAUUUUGACAUGCUUUCGAACUGCUAGGUUGGCAGGAGCUGGGACCAAGCAACGGGAGCUCACCCUGUCACAGGGAUUCGAACUGCCGACCUUCUGAUCAGCAAGCCCUAGGCUCAGUGGUUUAACCACUCUUUUAUGGUAGGCAACUACAAUAUCAAUGUAUAUACUGUACAGUAUAGAGCUGUAUUUAAAUUUAACACAGACCCAUAUCCAUUUAUAUGGUAGUAACCUGCUGCAGCAGAGAAGGAUAAAUGUCUGUAAUACUAUGACCACAGCGUAGAAAUGUCAUUUCCAUAUAUGAAUUAUAUAUCUUGAGCUUGACCUCAGCUGUCACGAAUGCAAGGCCAGAGUAAGGACCAGUGUGAAAGCUCCCUCCUGGGAGUGACCCAAACACUCACCUUUCCCAGGUGGCCUCAAGGCCACUGCGGAAGGGGCCACAGCUGCAACAGGAGAAAUGGUAGCCCCCAUUUGGCCAAAGGUGACUGAGCUGAGCAGCGCUUCCCCAGAUCCAGGGACCACAAUCCAGGCACCAGACUCCUGCCCUUCCCCACCAUGAGAUGCCUGGACUUCAGGCGCUGAGGAACCGGGAUCAGCCACGACCUCGUUGGCAAGCAGCCGGGCCUCCCCAUGGAGGAUGAUCUGACUCAUGGAGCUGCAGGAACUGCAGCAUAGGCAGUAGCAUCUGCCAGUCAGUGGACAGCUGGGAAGUGGUCGGUGCAAGGCUGGGGGUGGUUGGGCAUCAUGUAUUUGGAUGUCCCCCAAAAAGGGAUGUCCUGGAGAGUUGAUGGAUAUGUGCCAUGGACCCGCUGGGUGUGUUACAUGGACUCCCUGGAGUCCGCAGAGCACCAAUUGGGAGCCACUAGUAUAGACUACUAGCUGGCCCUACCACGCGUUGCUGUGGAUUAGUCUGUUAAAUGGGCCCUCAGAGUCCCUUCUCAGACUCCCCUGUUGGCCCCACUGUGGAUUAGUCUGCUAAAUGGGCCCUCAGAGUCCCCCUUCAGACUCCUCCCCCCACCCCCCGUGACUCAUCCCUGUGAUUGGCUCCAGCCUGUCCCGAUCCAUGACCUUUCCCGCCCCCUCCUCUCCCCAUCCCCCACCCAGGGGAGCCCCCACCUCUAUUCGGCCUAGCCUUCAAACCUCUACUCAGCCUAGUCUGCAAAGGUGAGCCAAGCUGUUGUGGAGUGGGAAGCUUUCCUACCUGCAGUACCAGUGUAGCCGCCGCUAGAGGCCGCUGUUGUGCAAGGUCUCCUGAUUCUAUUUCCCAGCAUGCACUUUAGGGUGAGUUGUGUGUUUUUGAACACGGGGGUUUGGGGGUUUUACGUUGCCCAGGUGUGACAUUUGUCUUUGAACUUUGUGUUAAAACUUGAACACAAUCUUGAACAGCAGUUUUGUUGAGCAUUGGAGAGGAACACACAUGCCCAGUCUACAUUUAUAUAUAUAUAGAUGGUUUGCUUUUGACUCUCACUGGAUGGAUGGCUCCUUUGAGCCUGCUUACUCGGCUGUGCUUUGCUUGCUUACUUGCUUGCUCUUUUCCAGGAAGAAAUAGCAAUAAGGUGCACUGCUAGAGAGUUCUGCAUUUAAAGGAGACAGAGCUAAGCAGCUGCAUUAGUAAGUAAACACUUGGCCUAUACACUCAUCCGCAAGAUUUUUCUUGUAUGCCAAGGAACUGACCAUUAGGCAGAGAAAUUGCUUGGCAUGAAGAACUGACAGAUUAUAAGCCCAUUCCUGCUCUGCUAAGACACUCACCACAACGCCAAAAAACACAUUAGGAAAUCAUGUGGUACAGUCUUCUUAGACUUCAGAAUACAUGCACAUGAAAGUGAGCACUCAUCAGGCAGAAGGGUUCCUGCUUUUCCUUCUCCUUCCUAGUGCACUAUUGUUCUACACACAGCAUUGUUUACAUUGGGGAGAUGGAUAUAUGUGGGGUUGCUCAUAGCUGAAAUAGUUUGGACCCAGUCCAUUUAUUUUCACAAGAAUUAUUUGAAUCCCUUUUCUAAAAUCAGGAGCCAAAUGCUAGGAAAGCAUUUAUUGUGUGUGCCUCUAUGAAUCAUGACUCAUGAUGAAUGAUUAAAUCAUAAAUGUUUUAGGACCAACAAAAAUAAUCCUGCAGGGUAAUAAGAGCUGGGUAGCACAAACACACCCACAUCUUCUUUUAAAACAGUAAUUCAUAUAUACUGUAGUAAGAAGGAUUUUUUGUUGUUUGAGUUUUUUCUCAUUGUUUUAAAUGUAAAACAAAAGGUGUAUGUAGAAUGGUGUCCCUUCUUUGUACAGAUUUAGUGCAUAGACUGGAGUGUGAAGAGGACAUCUUUGGAUGCAUUAUUACAGGCAACACUGGUACAAUAGAGCAUUGCAUCUGGCUGAGAGUUGGUGGUUUGAGCCCACCCAAGGAUGGCUGUGGGCAGGAUUCCUGCAUUGCAGGAGAUUGGACUAGAUGACCCUCAGGUACCUUCCAACUCUAUGAUUCUAUGGCUUAAGCAAAACAUAGGAGGGUAGGUGGACUUUGGGGUAUGUGUAUCAUUUUCAUGGUUAAUAGGCCAAAGAAGAGCACUCUGACUUAAAUCUGAGAGGUCUACAGGAAACCUGUUAUUAUCACAUAUUUUUAUGUAUUUUUGUUCCAAUAUAUGUAAUCCCAAAAAUUUACACUGUAGCUUUGGUGACCCAUACAAUGGCUUUAUGUACAUAAUAAAUGAGUAGCCUUAGGAAUAUAAUUGUUCAUGUGUUCCUAUGUACAGGUAUUGAAUAAAUACAGCUGUUCAUCUCCCUGCUUUAUCUGUGGAAGAGACUGAAGAAAUAACUAUUUUUAAAUACUUGAAAGCACUGCACUUCAUUUCCUUAAUAUUGUUGUCAUGUCUGUGAGGAUUACAGCUCUUUUGCUGCAAUGUUGACAGAAAUGUCAGUUUCCAUCUGGUAUGGCCCAUUAAACACAGGGGCGGAGUACCAGUGGCCCUCCAAAUGUUGCUGAACAACAAUUCCCAUCAUCCCUGACCAAUGACUAUACUGGCUGGGGCUGAUGGGAAUUGGAGUCCUAAUAUCUGGAGGGCCAUAGAUUUCCACAUGGGUGAGACCAGGGUGCCAACUUGAAUAAAAUAGGGGGGGGGCAAGUAAGCCCUGCCCUGCAUAAUCAAUCACGACACGGUGCACUGACACCAUUUGAGUGGCAAUGUCUUAUCAACUGGGGGGGGGGCG